Long non-coding RNA from Lolium perenne, 1542 nucleotides. RefSeq lists it as uncharacterized. The record is from RefSeq and is a predicted model, not a curated record. NCBI's taxonomy places the organism in Eukaryota, Viridiplantae, Streptophyta, Magnoliopsida, Poales, Poaceae.
AAAUCACGCAAAGCACGCCCUCAUCUAACGCCUUCGAUUUCCCUCCCGAAUCCCCCUUCCUCUCUCCCUCAAACCUCAAUCGCCGCCGCCCCGGCACCUCGCCGGCCACCGCAGCUCCGGCUCCUCCUCCCCAACCCACCCCCUCCUCUCCAUCCAGAACCCCCAACGGCGGCCGCAUCCCCCCACCACCCACGCGAUCUCUUCCCCUCGAUCCUCGCCGGCGCAUGCGACCCACCUCCGCGCCGUCAAGAACCGGCGACCUCCACCCUCGAGGUCAACUCGAUCUCCGCCGUCCUCUGGGGAUCCUUCACCGUGCGGAUUCCGACCCUCGGCGCCGCGCUCCGGGAAGACGUACAUCCCCUGGGCACGCCUCCAUCGGCGAGCUCCUGCCACGGCGCCCAUCCGGAGCACGAAGGCCGCUUUAGUUCACCCAGCCACCGCGCCGCUAUCCUACUCCGAAGACCUGCUACUGACCGGACCACUGCCGGCAGCCUCCACAAGCUGGCGAGCCCUAGGAGAAGCUUGGGACAGAUGGAUUGAUGGUGGUGCAGCUCGAGGAGGCGGCGGCGGGUUCGCGAGGGGCGACGGCUUGCUCGGACGAACGGAUACUGCUACGGCUUGCUAUUAGGAAGGUUGCACUAGCUGUUUGUGUUACUGCAUUAGGGAAAGGCAUCCCAUAUGUGUAUUAGACUACCUCAGACUCAGAGAAAGUUACUUGGCAAGGAGUGUGGUGAAGGGCACAAUAUAUCCUGAGCGGCACACUACAAUUUUGUUUGAGGAUUGAGGAAGCAUUCAACAAUUAUAGUGCAAGGAUAGAUAUACCAUCUGAUUGAGCCAACUCAGCAGACACUCACGAUGAUUGUUUCUUGAGUGGGAGGAGAUUCUGAAACAAGUACAUAAAUGCUUACAGGGACGUUUAGUAGAUCCACUGAAGCAGAACAACAUUUUUGGGCGCAAUGUCAGCAAAGGUAGUGGACGGAUGUACAUAUGAGAUGCCAACGGAGCCAUGUUCUUGGACCUGCGGUGCUUGGUAGCCGGCUGGGAUGUACGCUGCGCCGGAGGAUCGGCUGGCUAACAACGGUUGGUGGUGAGAGAGAAGGAAGGGGAGAGAUGUACGCGGGCCUGCACUGAUGCAGCGGCGGCAGCAGCAACAGUGAGGGUAAAAUGUAGCCGCGGGGUGGUGGCUUGGAGAAAAGGAGCUAGACUAGCUGUGUGUUGGUUCAGGUUUUGUUCCGGCUGGACUAGCGAAGAUGCUAGUUGUGUGUGUGGUGUAUCAUUCAGGUUCUAGCUAAAGUGUGGACAAGAUGCAUCUGGCCAAAAUUUUCCACCAAUGCUGCUGUACAUGCUAGCUAGCUAGGUGUUGUUUCAUGUCCAGUCGCUUGGCUUGCUGCAGCUGUCGUGUAUACUGUAGUUUCGCUGGUGGCCAAGCAAUAUCUUGUGCUAAGUUCUUUAUAUGUAUUUAAAUGCCUUGAGGAUGUUAUGUGCUGUGAAUGUACGGAAAACAAUUUAUCAAAAAUCACUAAAUUGAGCUUAGCUAGUACA